AAGGAAUAUUGGGCAAUGGACGCAAGUCUGACCCAGCCAUGCCGCGUGAAGGAUGACUGUCCUAUGGAUUGUAAACUUCUUUUAUGCAGGAAAAAUAGCCUGGUCGAGCACCGGGUAUGAUGGUACUGUAUGAAUAAGCAUCGGCUAACUCCGUGCCAGCAGCCGCGGUAAUACGGAGGAUGCAAGCGUUAUCCGGAUUCAUUGGGUUUAAAGGGUGCGCAGGCGGAAUUAUAAGUCAGUGGUGAAAUCUCCCAGCUUAACUGGGAAACUGCCAUUGAUACUGUUAUUCUUGAGUACAGUUGAAGUGGGCGGAAUGUGUCAUGUAGCGGUGAAAUGCUUAGAUAUGACACAGAACACCGAUAGCGAAGGCAGCUCACUAAGCUGUAACUGACGCUCAUGCACGAAAGCGUGGGGAUCAAAC
RNAcentral lists this ribosomal RNA (421 nucleotides) under uncultured bacterium. RNAcentral describes it as "bacterial SSU rRNA". It matches the Rfam family "Bacterial small subunit ribosomal RNA", at positions 356 to 773 of the family's 1533-position model. The record is from RNAcentral.